AGAUGGCGACCGGCGCACGGGUGAGUAACACGUAUCCAACCUGCCGAUAACUCGGGGAUAGCCUUUCGAAAGAAAGAUUAAUACCCGAUGGUAUAAUCAGACCGCAUGGUCUUGUUAUUAAAGAAUUUCGAUAACCGAUGGGGAUGCGUUCCAUUAGUUUGUUGGCGGGGUAACGGCCCACCAAGACAUCGAUGGAUAGGGGUUCUGAGAGGAAGGUCCCCCACAUUGGAACUGAGACACGGUCCAA
RNAcentral lists this ribosomal RNA (247 nucleotides) under uncultured bacterium. RNAcentral describes it as "partial 16S ribosomal RNA". It matches the Rfam family "Bacterial small subunit ribosomal RNA", at positions 86 to 334 of the family's 1533-position model. The record is from RNAcentral.